AGGGAAUAGAUACCCGGGUAGUCCACGCCCUAAACGAUGUCGACUAGGUGUUCGGUGAGGAGACUCAUUGAGUACCGCAGCUAAACGCGUGAAGUCGACCGCCUGGGGAGUACGGUCGCAAGAUUAAAACUCAAAGGAAUUGACGGGGACCCGCACAAGCGGUGGAUGAUGUGGAUUAAUUCGAUGCAACGCGAAAAACCUUACCUACCCUUGACAUGUACGGAACCCUGCUGAGAGGUGGGGGUGCUCGAAAGAGAGCCGUAACACAGGUGCUGCAUGGCUGUCGUCAGCUCGUGUCGUGAGAUGUUGGGUUAAGUCCCGCAACGAGCGCAACCCUUGUCAUUAGUUGCUACGCAAGAGCACUCUAAUGAGACUGCCGGUGACAAACCGGAGGAAGGUGGGGAUGACGUCAAGUCCUCAUGGCCCUUAUGGGUAGGGCUUCACACGUCAUACAAUGGUCGGUACAGAGGGUUGCCAAGCCGCGAGGUGGAGCCAAUCCCAGAAA
This 505-nucleotide ribosomal RNA is filed under the name uncultured bacterium. RNAcentral describes it as "bacterial SSU rRNA". It matches the Rfam family "Bacterial small subunit ribosomal RNA", at positions 773 to 1280 of the family's 1533-position model. The record is from RNAcentral.